AAGUGGGGACGACCCCACCGCUCCAGCUCUUUGCGGGGACGGCCUCG
RNAcentral lists this non-coding RNA (47 nucleotides) under Lampropedia hyalina. RNAcentral's name for it is "Guanidine-II sequence". It matches the Rfam family "Guanidine-II riboswitch aptamer (mini-ykkC)". From Rfam's summary of the family: Simpler in structure and has fewer highly conserved nucleotide positions than the ykkC-yxkD leader. Despite this each of its two stem-loop structures directly bind free guanidine. RNAcentral also lists the same sequence under 1 other name. Lineage: Bacteria; Pseudomonadati; Pseudomonadota; Betaproteobacteria; Burkholderiales; Comamonadaceae. The record is from RNAcentral.